AUUGAACGCUGGCGGCAUGCUUUACACAUGCAAGUCGAACGGUAGAGGGGGCAACCCCUUGAGAGUGGCGAACGGGUGAGUAAUGCAUCGGAACGUGCCCAGUCGUGGGGGAUAACGCAGCGAAAGCUGUGCUAAUACCGCAUACGAUCUCUGGAUGAAAGCGGGGGACCUUGUGGCAAUAAGGGGCCUCGCGCGAUUGGAGCGGCCGAUGUCAGAUUAGGUAGUUGGUGGGGUAAAGGCUCACCAAGCCAACGAUCUGAAGCUGGUCUGAGAGGACGACCAGCGACACUGGGACUGAGACACGGCCCAGACUCCUACGGGAGGCAGCAGUGGGGAAUUUUGGACAAUGGGCGCAAGCCUGAUCCAGCAAUGCCGCGUGCAGGAAGAAGGCCUUCGGGUUGUAAACUGCUUUUGUACGGAACGAAAAGGUCUGGGUUAAUACCCUGGGCACAUGACGGUACCGUAAGAAUAAGCACCGGCUAACUACGUGCCAGCCGCCGCCGUAA
RNAcentral lists this ribosomal RNA (506 nucleotides) under uncultured bacterium. RNAcentral's name for it is "partial 16S ribosomal RNA". It matches the Rfam family "Bacterial small subunit ribosomal RNA", at positions 30 to 523 of the family's 1533-position model. The record is from RNAcentral.